CCUACGGGAGGCAGCAGUCGAGAAUCAUUCACAAUGGGGGAAACCCUGAUGGCGCGACGCCGCGUGGGGGAAUGAAGGUCUGCGGAUUGUAAACCCCUGUCAUGGGGGAGCAAAUUAAAAAGAUAGUACCACAAGAGGAAGAGACGGCGAACUCAGUGCCAGCAGCCGCGGGAAGACAGAGGUCUCAAGCGUUGUUCGGAACCACUGGGCGUAAAGGGUGCGUAGGCUGUUUCGUAAGUCGUGUGUGAAAGGCGCGGGCUCACCCCGCGGACGGCACAUGAUACUGCGAGACUAGAGUACUGGAGGGGGAACCGGAAUUCUCGGUGUAGCCGU
Molecule: ribosomal RNA, 333 nt
Filed under: uncultured bacterium
Lineage: Bacteria
Description: partial 16S ribosomal RNA
Rfam family: Bacterial small subunit ribosomal RNA
Source: RNAcentral